GUUGUGGAUCAUUGUUGCUGUUCAUUGUUGCUGUUGCUGUCUGUAUGCUGGUGAGUGUUGCUUGUGCUACUGUUUGUAUGUCAGUUGUUAAGUCGCGUUGUCGCGCACUUUAUUUUCAUUCAGUCUGUAGUUAGUUUCGUUUUCCGUUCGUGUUUGGUUUGUUUGUUGUUUAUUAAAACCCACGAACGCGAUAUCUGCCUGCGCCUGGUUCCUUCAACACCACACAACGACGAAGUGUUACAAAUAUCAGUUAUUUUUGCAUAUCAACAUUAAUUAAUCCCGUUUUAGGAAAUGUAAAAUCACCACAAAAAAUGUUUUGACAACAUGUAAAUCUUGUCAGGACUAGAUUACGUUUUUCGACAGUUUCUGUUUUCGUAAUUAGAUUUUGUGGAAAUAUUCCUGAUCUUACAGGAAAAGUCCCGUGUAGAGAGUUCUAUCAAAAGAGGUUUAUUGAGAUGGAGAAAAAACACAAAGUUACUCUGAUCUGUUCAGUUGGAUCGUACAGUUACUGGAGAUAUACAUGGUACAAAGACAACACUAUGAUUACAGUGUACCAGUCUGAAUACAUUAUAUCAGGGAACAACCUCAUCAGAAGAGUUAGAGUCGGAGCAGGGUUCAUACAGAUGCCAUGGAUACCAACAUGACAGACCCACAUCUACAUCCACCAGUGAUCAGGUCACUGUAACUGUGAAAGCUGGUUGAGUUGAAUCAGGACAAAUGCCACAUCACCUGUCCCAGAAGCAGAAGAAGAACCAGCAACAACUGACACAGAACAUAGAACAUUUUCCUUAGUCACACUGUAAAUGAACAACUGACACAUGACAUGCAAUUUAAAGCGUACAGACAACUUCACUUGGUCACACUGUACAGAAACAACUGACACAGAACAUACAAACAAACAAUUUAAAGCUUACAGACAUACAGACACUUUCACUUGGUCACACUUCACUACAGCAACUGACAAAAAAGACAGACACUUUAUUAGGUUCAUUGUAGGUUGCCACACAUUCUUACCAAAACACAUCUGAAUAUUGUAGGUUACAACAGAAAUAGUGUAUAUUAUGGGCUCCAACACACUGGUACAACAACAUUACAGUAUACCUCUAUCAUUGUGGUCUGAUGGACUUAUUGUGUCAUAGAUGUUAGCGCCACCUGUUGGUUGAAGAAGACAGAGGAAAAUGGUCAUCCUCUGCUUAUCAGGGGACAUAGAGUUCAUACUAGGUAACAUGUUGUUGUGAAUAGUGAAUGUUGUCAAGUCAGUGUAUGAGGUUUCAGAUAGAGAAUGACAGAGAUCUGGUCUGAGGGACGGACCAUCCUGCAGUAGAUCCUGCUGGGGAUCCUGGUUGGUAAUCUGGGUCUGGGGAG
Molecule: long non-coding RNA, 1365 nt
Organism: Esox lucius (northern pike)
Lineage: Eukaryota; Metazoa; Chordata; Actinopteri; Esociformes; Esocidae
Source: Ensembl